AGGUCGGCCGGGUGGACGGAGCUGCGGGCAUUUUCGACGAGCUCCCUCCCCGGGACAAGAUGCGCGUUUUCUCUGAUGAGUCGGCAACCUGGUGCGUGCCAGAUAAGUAAGUUAGUACAGUAGUAUUAUAUUUCCAUCAAAAAAAAUCUAUGAAAAUAUUAUAAUACACUUCUUAAGAACUGAUCUGAGUUAGCAGAAAGAUUUUCAGCAAAAUACUAAGAACAUGGAAAAGAGGAAAUGCCCUUUAUUUUCAAUUCACUAGACUCAUCUUUUAUUUAGUGGAUUUGACACUAAGUAUAUAUUUUCGUUUAAAAAGUUAAUACCUCCAUUCAUGUUUACUAGCUACCACAGCUAAAUCAGAUACUUUUUUUCUACAAGAGCAAUAAAUCGGAUACUUACUGCUUCGUUGGACGUUCCAAAGGAAUCUGCAAAGCUUUUGUGCCUGGAAUGACUGGAAUGAUCUGCAGGGCGCCCAGAGCCUGGAUUUCUUCUGGCGAAUGCCUCAACAGCACCAGUGAACCUAUCCCGGAUCUCUUGUCCCACUGGCAAAAACGCAACUAAUUAGGUCAAUCGAUCAAUUUUCACAUAGCAAUGGUCCAAAUGCAAUUAACUACCAGGAGACAUACUGGAAGCUUUGUCUGUUCUCUCAACUGAUGGUCCAACUCCAGCCAUUCUUGCACUUGGUUGCUAGAUAAUUUAAGAAACAUAAUGGCAUUUUAGUGAAACGAAAAGACAAUAGUAAUUCACCAAUAAUGUAGACAAGACAUAGAUAUAAGAUUAGAGAGACAUACUUGAACAAGCUUGUUGUUGGAGCCCAUUUGAGGGUACUUGAGUGCAGUCCAGUCAAAUACGUAAUCAAAUUGGUAUCCUACAGUGUUAAUCUAUAAUGAGACCCAGUUUCCUAACACCGGAUCAUAGUGCAGGCGAGAACAAUGGUCACAUUAGCGGGGUCACUCAGAAGAAAGGUGUGUACCUUCCCGUAUAAAUACAUCACGAAAGAGCUUCUUCAUUGAAGAGUAAUCUGGCCUGUCUUCAAAUCGCAGGGAGCGACAAUAGUGGAAAUAUGAGACGAACUCCGGCGGGUAAGAUUUGCACAGAAUCUGUUUAAGACAAUGUUAGUUCAAACAGUGUCUGCAACAGCUACCAUGACAGGAUUACAAUGUUCGUGUUGGCAAAAAGAAGUACCUCUGCCGAGGUAAGCAUUUUCUUUUCACUAAUUUUAUCAUACUUUUGUUUCUUAGUGCCAGCUUUAAGGCCCUGCCAUGGGAGGCUAAGCAUAACGUAAAAGCAUGUCAAGUAUAGUAUUAGUAAAAGAGGAAAUACAGUAAAAUAUACAGAUUUUCGGGACAAACCUUCCUCUUAAAAAAUAUAGCAGAAGAUAGCCAACAGACUCCAGAUCAUCUCUCCUGCUUUGUUCUGGAUGAAACAAGUACAGGUACAUGAAAAACAAAUACAUUGUGUUUCCCUCCUUUUGAAAGCAUUAGAUUAAGUAGCUUCUCCUUCGUCAAUCGUCAGGUUAAGUUUAUUUCAUGACCAAGCAUCCAAGAAUUAAAAAGCGUAUGAUUUUAAUGCAAUUGCAGACACAUGGUAACAUAUUUGAUUUGCUCAUUGAGCUCACCUAUUCCAAGAUGAGUAUUCACACUAGCAUAACGUGCUGUUCCAGUCAGAUUUUUGUUCUCCCUGUGCAUAAAAAAAAUUAAUCAUUUACCAUAAAAAACAAGUAGUCACAAAAAUGAAAAGGUUCACUUUAUGUCUAAUCUAUCGAUUAAAUUUGAACCUAGCGUCCUAGUUUGCAAAUAUCACAGAAAACGCAUUAAAUAUUUGCAUGUGAUGUGACACUACUUUUAACCUUGGUGUUAAAACUUAUUCUUGGGCUUUCAAGAAGAUACUAAUGCACAACAACAUGACACGAUUGGACAUGAACAUUUUGAGUAAUUUGUCAUUUUAUUUCUGAAAUUUACAUGUAAAUAUCGCAAGAUCAAACAAUCCACUCAGGUUGCCUCUCUACCAUGAUCCGAUACUAUAUUUAAUAUACAAAACCUCAGUUGGAUUGCCCAACAGUGUACCAUUAGCCAGUGUCUCUUGACAAAAUGUAGGGUGCCAUUUGAUUCACGAAAUGUAACGUAAAUGACAAUGAUAACGAUUCACACUUGAAUAGACCGGUAUCAAUUUGUAGUGUGGUAUAUGAUUACGGUUGGAUUUAAACAAAUAUAAUUUAACAUUAUCUGUUACCUAUUACGUUACAAAUAUAUAAACCAAACAACACCUAGGAAGUUGUGACAUAGGUGCAGUAUAGAGGUUGCACGAAUUAUCACAUAGGUGCAGUAUAGAGGUUGCACGAAUUAUCACAUCCCAGUUUCUGCUUAUGAACUUGCAAUUUAAUGGAAUAAUUGUUUGGCCCAACAAAGUCCAGGGUUAGUUAUAAGUGAAAACUUCAUUAAUAUGCUUCACCUGUAUGGGAUGUGUUUAUGAGUCUGAAGGUCCUUGUAUUUCUUAGCAAGCCCAUAAUCAAUGAUAUAGACCUGCAGAAUAAAAAGGAUAUGUCUUCACAUAUUGUUCAUUGACGAGUAAGAAUCUCGGGGAUUAUUACCAGAUAUUAUUAGUAUUAGAGAAGUAACUACUAUGCUCUUUUUAUACUGAAAAUAACAAAAGCAGAUGACAUUUGGGGUUUAACCUGAUUAGCUUUCCGACCUAAGCCUAUAAGGAAGUUGUCUGGCUUGAUGUCACGAUGAAUAAAUCCCUUGGAAUGCAUGUAUUCCACUCGGUUUAUCUAAAAAUGGAAGAUUUAAUAAUGUAAGUCCAGGACAAUAAUAAAAUCUCGCUCUCCUUCCAACACCCACUAAGGAAAAAGAAUCAAACUUAAAAUAUGUACAAUCUUGCAAAGCUUGCCUGCGAUACACUUAGAACAACAUACGGUGUUCAUGAAAUCCAUUUGUACCAUCAAUGAUCUAAUACUUUGGAAUUAAAACCCACAAAAGAAGGCAACACUUAUGGCAGAAUGCUCAUGAAACUUCUGAACAUGUAACUCCCAACCAAUAGCUGUUAUCAAAUUCCAGAAAGUUGACUUGCCUCCUAACUGUUGCAGGGCAGCGUAAGGUUGAAUAUGGAAUGAAUAAACUCACCAGUUGAUCAGCAAGCAUAAGCACCGUUUUCAUAGAAAAUUUCCUGUUGCAGGAAUUAAACAAAUCUUCCAAGCUUGGGCCAAGAAGAUCGAUCACCAUAACAUUGUACUCCCCCUCAACACCAUACCACUUGAGGUGUGGGAUACCGUCUGUGUCAAAAAUGAGUGACUAAAUAAGCAACCAGAAGGCGUGGACACAAAUUACUGCAAAUAAUCAUAUAAAUUACAAUCGACUUACUUCCACCCUGCAGCAGCAUAUAAACUUUAGAUUCAUAGUGCAGCUGUGGAUGUUUUGUUUUCACAGGCUCCUGACAGAUCAAACCAAAGAAAAGGUGAGGCCUUGAACCAAACGCUUCAGCAAAGGUAUAUCCAGACUCUAGAUAAGAGACAUGUUAUACUACA
RNAcentral lists this long non-coding RNA (3523 nucleotides) under Zea mays. RNAcentral's name for it is "long non-coding RNA (ZMAY_LNC005902)". Lineage: Eukaryota; Viridiplantae; Streptophyta; Magnoliopsida; Poales; Poaceae. The record is from RNAcentral.